Molecule: ribosomal RNA, 456 nt
Filed under: uncultured bacterium
Lineage: Bacteria
Description: bacterial SSU rRNA
Rfam family: Bacterial small subunit ribosomal RNA
Source: RNAcentral
AAUCAACGCUGGCGGCGUGCCUAACACAUGCAAGUCGAACGCGAAAGCCCCUUCGGGGGUAAGUAGAGUGGCGUCCGGGUGAGUAACACGUGGGUAAUCUACCUUCGGGUGGGGAAUAACUCAGGGAAACUUGAGCUAAUACCGCAUAAUGCAGCGGCACCUAAUGGUGAUUAGUUGUUAAAGCGGGGGAUCGCAAGACCUCGCGCCUGAAGAGGAGCCUGCGGCAGAUUAGCAGUUGGUGAGGUAAUGGCUCACCAAGGCUUCGAUCUGUAGCUGGUCUGAGAGGACGGCCAGCCACACUGGCACUGACACACGGGCCAGACUCCUACGGGAGGCAGCAGUGGGGGAAUUUUGGGCAAUGGGCGAAAGCCUGACCCAGCAACGCCGCGUGAGGGAGGAAAUCCUUCGGGAUGUAAACCCCACAAGACAAGGGAAGAGAGCUACGGGCUGAAUAAU